GAUGAACGCUAGCUACAGGCUUAACACAUGCAAGUCGAGGGGAAACGAUGAGAGAGCUUGCUCUCUUAGUCGUCGACCGGCGCACGGGUGAGUAACGCGUAUCCAACCUGCCUCUGACCAAGGGAUAACCCGUCGAAAGUCGGACUAAUACCUUAUGCAGUCGUCGGAAGUCAUCUGAUGACGACGAAAGAUUUCAUCGGUGAGAGAUGGGGAUGCGUCUGAUUAGCUUGUUGGCGGGGUAACGGCCCACCAAGGCGACGAUCAGUAGGGGUUCUGAGAGGAAGGUCCCCCACAUUGGAACUGAGACCCGGUCCAAACUCCUACGGGAGGCAGCAGUGAGGAAUAUUGGUCAAUGGGCGUAAGCCUGAACCAGCCAAGUAGCGUGCAGGAUGACGGCCCUAUGGGUUGUAAACUGCUUUUAUGCGGGGAUAAAGUGAGGGACGUGUCCUUCAUUGCAGGUACCGCAUGAAUAGGGACCGGCUAAUUCCGUG
This 491-nucleotide ribosomal RNA is filed under the name uncultured bacterium. RNAcentral's name for it is "partial 16S ribosomal RNA". It matches the Rfam family "Bacterial small subunit ribosomal RNA", at positions 28 to 507 of the family's 1533-position model. The record is from RNAcentral.